RNAcentral lists this ribosomal RNA (468 nucleotides) under uncultured bacterium. Its description in RNAcentral is "partial 16S ribosomal RNA". It matches the Rfam family "Bacterial small subunit ribosomal RNA", at positions 28 to 507 of the family's 1533-position model. The record is from RNAcentral.
GACGAACGCUGGCGGCGUGCUUAACACAUGCAAGUCGAACGGAAAGGCCCUGCUUUUGUGGGGUGCCCGAGUGGCGAACGGGUGAGUAACACGUGAGUAACCUGCCCUUGACUUUGGGAUAACUUCAGGAAACUGGGGCUAAUACCGGAUAGGAGCUCCUGCUGCAUGGUGGGGGUUGGAAAGUUUCGGCGGUUGGGGAUGGACUCGCGGCUUAUCAGCUUGUUGGUGGGGUAGUGGAUUACCGAGGCAUUGACGGGUAGCCGGCAUGAGAGGGUGGCCGGCCACAUUGGGACUGCGGUACGGCCCAGUGUCCUACGGGAGGCAGCAGUGGGAAAUCUUGCACAGUGGGCGGACGCCGGAUGCGACAGCGUCGCGUGCGGGAUGACGGCCUUCGGGUUGUGAACCGCUUUCGCCUGAGACGAAGCGUGAGUGACGGUAAUGAGUAAAGAAGCACCGGCUAACUACGUG